GAUGAAGAACGUAGCAAAAUGCGAUAAGUAAUGUGAAUUGCAGAAUUCAGUGAAUCAUCGAAUCUUUGAACGCACAUUGCGCCCGCCAGUAUUCUGGCGGGCAUGCCUGUUCGAGCGUCAUUUCAACCCUCAAGCACAGCUUGGUGUUGGGACUCGCGUUAAUUCGCGUUCCCCAAAUUGAUUGGCGGUCACUUCGAGCUUCCAUAGCGUAGUAGUAAAACCCUCGUUACUGGUAAUCGUCGCGGCCACGCCGUUAAACCCCAACUUCUGAAUGUUGACCUCGGAUCAGGUAGGAAUACCCGCUGAACUUAAGCAUAUCAAUAAGCGGAGGA
RNAcentral lists this unclassified non-coding RNA (332 nucleotides) under soil metagenome. Its description in RNAcentral is "partial contains 5.8S ribosomal RNA, internal transcribed spacer 2, and large subunit ribosomal RNA". The stretch from base 1 to 120 matches the Rfam family "5.8S ribosomal RNA", at positions 35 to 154 of the family's 154-position model. The record is from RNAcentral.